UCAAAAACAUCACCUCUAGCAUCACCAGUAUUAGAGGCACCGCCUGCCCAGUGACACAUGUUUAACGGCCGCGGUACCCUAACCGUGCAAAGGUAGCAUAAUCCCUCGCCCUGUUUUAUAAAAACAUUGCUUAUAGAAUUAAUUAUAAGUAAAACCUGCUCAAUGAUAAUUUCAAUAGCCGCAAUUUCUGUGCUAAGGUAGCAUAAUCAUUUGUUUUUUAAUUCAAAACUAGAAUGAAAGGUUAAACAUUUAAAUUUCUAUAACUUUAAUUUUUCAUAAAAUUAUAUUAAAUAUAAAAAUAUAUUUAUAAAAAAAUUAGACGACAAGACCCUAUUGAACUUUACUUCUGUUAAGCUGGGGAAGCUUAUAAAUUAAAAUUUUCAUAAUCUUUCAAUAAAUUUCCCAAUCUAAUUGAUUUUUAAUCAAGUUACCAUAGGGAUAACAGCGUAAUUUUUAUUUAAAGUUCUUAUUAAAAUAAAAGUUUGCGACCUCGAUGUUGAAUUAUAUUUCCUUUAUUUCGCAACAGAAAUAUUAGUAGGUCUGUUCGACCUUUAAAAAUUUACAUGAUCUGAGCCAAACCGGGAGAGGUAGGGUUUACGACCUCGAUGUUGGAUCAGGACAUCCCGAUGGUGCAGCCGCUAUUAAAGGUUCGUUUGUUCAACGAUUAAAGUCCUACGUGAUCUGAGUUC
Molecule: ribosomal RNA, 689 nt
Filed under: Argyrodes sp. The_793
Lineage: Eukaryota; Metazoa; Arthropoda; Arachnida; Araneae; Theridiidae
Description: partial large subunit ribosomal RNA
Rfam family: Bacterial large subunit ribosomal RNA
Source: RNAcentral